RNAcentral lists this unclassified non-coding RNA (1021 nucleotides) under Hevea brasiliensis (rubber tree). Lineage: Eukaryota; Viridiplantae; Streptophyta; Magnoliopsida; Malpighiales; Euphorbiaceae. The record is from RNAcentral.
CCCAUCCUUGUCAGCAAAAUUCCUGACAUAUGCCUGAGAUUUACCAAAUCGCCAGUUAAUAUUAAGGGAUUAGAAACUCAAGGGACACAGGAAAAAUAGGCAACAAAGUGCUAAUAUUUAAAAUCGUAAUGAAAAAAUAAAUAAUACUACCAAAUUUGUUUCAAUGACUUUUUCUAAGUGUCUACAGAGCAUGUGUUUUCUAGGGUUCAUUAGGUUUGGAGUCAAGUACCAUGCUUCUUCUUUUUUUUUUGAGGGGGACGUUUUUGUUAAAUUUCCUCAAUAAUGUUAUAAUUAUACGAACAAACAAAAAUUAAGCCUUAAUUUCAAACUAGUUGAGAUCAGCUAUAUAAAUUUUUUUUUCUACCAUUCAGCUUUAUUAGAGAACAAGUCCGUUAGUUGUAUGAUAAAUACAAUAAAAGAACACCUAGGCAACUGGUAGCAAACUUUUGUUUAGGAAAACAUGUGGCAUCUGAACCAAGCUACUAGAGAUUCAUCAUGUGAAAUGCAGACAUAAAUCAUCCACAGGUACCAUUUUAUUUACUUGUUACUAGUGCAAACUGCAAAGUCACAUCAAUGUUCUUGAUAAAAAAUAAGGCAAGAAAGAGGAAAGACAAAGUGAAACAAGAAAAAAGGGGGAACAAUUUUCAUAUGUCUAUCUAGACCAUGUGGAAACCUUUGGUAAAAUGGACCACAUAAAAACAUGACAAGGGUCUUUCAUGGUAUCUUCAACUGUUUCAGCAGUCCCCACGAAACUUCCACACUAUUUAAGUGAAAGGAUGAAUGGACCCUGAAACUGACACCAUUCUUUUCUGACAACUAAUUUGAGUACUGAGGAAGGGAAAGAAAGAAAAGAAGAAGCCAUAAGUUGUUAUGUGGUCACAGACCAAAAUGACAGGUUCCAGAAUUUAUUAGAAAUACAAGCAACUCCAAAAAAUCUAAAAACCAGAAAAUGGUUUUUUUUAUCUACCUACACAUAUGAUAAACAGAAGUAAUUAUGUGAAUUUGGUGAGGCAAGAAUUAC